GUCCUCAGCCACUUCAGCCUGCGAGCCCGGGCCUGGGUGCCCUGGUCCAGGGCCCAGGCCGAGGACACCGCAGGUUCUGCCGACCUUGUAGCAGGCUUUGCCCAGCUCUCCAUCCACCUCGUUCCUCUCCACCUACGAUCAAUCAGGCCUCGUCCCUAUUAAAACAUACCGCAGAGGAUGAGAUGUUUGGAUGGCAUCAUCCACUUGAUGGCCGCAAUUACAAAGAUUUGCCCAGUUUCAAGGGGAAAGAACAGGGACUCCCACACUUGAUGGAGUGUCACUGACACAUUUCAAGAGCAUGGGGGCCCAAGCAAGAUCUUAUGACAUUACCUUUAUUCUCUUCAAGAAUAACCUGGAAAUGGGGGCCCAAGAAGCCAGAUAGUAGACCAGAAGGAAAUGUUGACAUCACACCCUUUCACCCUCAUCUCUCCCAAUG
Bos taurus (domestic cattle) is the source of this 436-nucleotide long non-coding RNA. The record is from Ensembl. NCBI's taxonomy places the organism in Eukaryota, Metazoa, Chordata, Mammalia, Artiodactyla, Bovidae.